CACGGGGGGAGCAAGCGUUGUUCGGAAUCACUGGGCGUAAAGGGAGUCUAGGCUGUCAGGUAAGUGAGAUGUGAAAUCCCUCGGCUUACCCGAGGACCUGCAUUUCAUACUGCUUGGCUUGAGGACGGUAGAGGCGUGUGGAAUUCCGGGUGUAGUGGUGAAAUGCGUAGAGAUCCGGAGGAACACCAGUGGCGAAGGCGACACGCUGGGCCGUACCUGACGCUAAAGCGCGACAGCAUGGGGAGCAAACGGG
Molecule: ribosomal RNA, 253 nt
Filed under: uncultured bacterium
Lineage: Bacteria
Description: partial 16S ribosomal RNA
Rfam family: Bacterial small subunit ribosomal RNA
Source: RNAcentral